This 438-nucleotide ribosomal RNA is filed under the name uncultured bacterium. RNAcentral describes it as "bacterial SSU rRNA". It matches the Rfam family "Bacterial small subunit ribosomal RNA", at positions 72 to 507 of the family's 1533-position model. The record is from RNAcentral.
AGAGGUGCUUGCAUCUCUUGAGAGCGGCGGACGGGUGAGUAAUGCCUAGGAAUCUGCCUAGUGGUGGGGGAUAACGUUCGGAACGGACGCUAAUACCGCAUACGUCCUACGGGAGAAAGCGGGGGAUCUUCGGACCUCGCGCCAUUAGAUGAGCCUAGGUCGGAUUAGCUAGUUGGUGAGGUAAUGGCUCACCAAGGCGACGAUCCGUAACUGGUCUGAGAGGAUGAUCAGUCACACUGGAACUGAGACACGGUCCAGACUCCUACGGGAGGCAGCAGUGGGGAAUAUUGGACAAUGGGCGAAAGCCUGAUCCAGCCAUGCCGCGUGUGUGAAGAAGGUCUUCGGAUUGUAAAGCACUUUAAGUUGGGAGGAAGGGUAGUAACCUAAUACGUUGCUACUUUGACGUUACCGACAGAAUAAGCACCGGCUAACUUCGUG